UCGGGACAAGUUUGUUAAUACUCAUAGCUACCCAGAUUGGGAUAGGCAGUGUAAAGGAGUCAGAGCUUCUGUUCAUCAGAAUCCAUACGGCAGAGUCAGGGAGAUGGUUCCAGGAGAAGAAAAGAAAGUCAGUUGCUUUCUGAGAUCAGGUGGGAAGUUUAUCCUGUCAACUCCACCUUUAGAGUGCUAGUCUCUGGAGCCACAAGGACUGAAACUCUGCUUCAGAGACCCACCACUGAUGACAACCAUCAGGCUCAGGAACUGAAAAGAAAUGGUGCAAAUGUGGCCGAGGGACUUGGGUUUUACAUUUAUUGCCGAGUCUGGUUUUCUUGAGUUUCAGAUGAUAAAAUUGAAGCCCAGAGAAGCUUGGGAGCCUCAACUAUUAAUGGAAAAACCAUAACUAGAACUGAGUUUUCCUGAGACAUUUUUUACUAUUCAUUCCCCUGCUCUUGGGCCACUCCAGGGCACUGAGCACACUUGCUUUGGCUAUUUGGAGAAGAGGCCAAUAGACACAACUGGCUUCAUCUUCAGGGACACCCAAUAUCUGGCAGCCCUCAGCCCCAGCGGAGUCUUUAUUGAAAGAACUGAUUCAUAGACCAGGCGCGGUGGCUCACGCCUAUAAUCCCAACACUUUGGGAAGCUGAGGUGGGCGGAUCUCAGUCAGGAGAUCGAGACCAUCCUGGCUAACACGGUGAAACCCCAUCUCUACUAAAAAUACAAAAAUAAAAAAAAAAAAUAGCUGGGUGUGGUGGCAGGCGCCUGUAGUCCCAGCACUUUGGGAGGCCGAGGUGGGCAGAUCACAAGGUCAGGAGUUCAAGACCAGCCUGACCAACAUGGUGAAACCCCAUCUCUACUAAAAAAAUACAAAAAUUAGCUGGGUGUGGUGGUGCGCACCUGUAAUCCCAGCCACUCAGAAGGCUGAGGCAGGAGAAUUGCUUGAACCUAGGAGGGGAAGGUUGCAGUGAGCCGAGAUUGCGCCACUGCACUCCAGCCUGGUUGACAGAGCAAGACUCUGUCUCAAGAAAAAAAAAAAGAAAAAGAAAAAAAAAGAAAGAAAGAACUGAUUUAUGAAAAGAUUCUUAUCAUGAUUUUCAUUUUACUAGUCCAAAGAUCACUGAGUUAAACUGCCUAUUUUAGUAGAUGAACAAAAGUGCCUUGAAUAAAGACGUAAUUCAAUAAAAACUUAAUCCUGUCAUAAAAUUGAAUAUUCUCUGGUUCCCCAAUGAACCCCAAAAC
This 1236-nucleotide long non-coding RNA is filed under the name Homo sapiens (human). RNAcentral's name for it is "HSALNT0183530". Lineage: Eukaryota; Metazoa; Chordata; Mammalia; Primates; Hominidae. The record is from RNAcentral.